CUACGGGAGGCAGCAGUGGGGAAUAUUGCACAAUGGGCGAAAGCCUGAUGCAGCGACGCCGCGUGCGGGAUGACGGCCUUCGGGUUGUAAACCGCUUUUGAUUGGGAGCAAGCGAGAGUGAGUGUACCUUUCGAAUAAGCACCGGCUAACUACGUGCCAGCAGCCGCGGUAAUACGUAGGGUGCAAGCGUUAUCCGGAUUUAUUGGGCGUAAAGAGCUCGUAGGCGGUUCGUCGCGUCUGGUGUGAAAGUCCAUCGCUUAACGGUGGAUCGGCGCCGGGUACGGGCGGACUGGAGUGCGGUAGGGGAGACUGGAAUUCCCGGUGUAACGGUGGAAUGUGUAGAUAUCGGGAAGAACACCGAUGGCGAAGGCAGGUCUCUGGGCCGUCACUGACGCUGAGGAGCGAAAGCGUGGGGAGCGAACAGGAUUAGAUACCCUGGUAGUCCACGCCGUAAACGGUGGAUGCUGGAUGUGGGGCCCGUUCCACGGUUCCGUGUCGGAGCUAACGCGUUAAGCAUCCCGCCUGGGGAGUACGGCCGCAAGGCUAAAACUCAAAGAAAUUGACGGGGGNCCGCACAAGCGGCG
This 584-nucleotide ribosomal RNA is filed under the name Bifidobacterium sp. A11. RNAcentral describes it as "bacterial SSU rRNA". It matches the Rfam family "Bacterial small subunit ribosomal RNA", at positions 339 to 934 of the family's 1533-position model. Lineage: Bacteria; Bacillati; Actinomycetota; Actinomycetes; Bifidobacteriales; Bifidobacteriaceae. The record is from RNAcentral.